GACGAACGCUGGCGGCGUGCUUAACACAUGCAAGUCGAACGAUGAAGCCGGAGCUUGCUCUGGUGAAUUAGUGGCGAACGGGUGAGUAACACGUGAGUAACCUGCCCUUGACUCUGGGGUAACUGCUAGAAAUGGUAGCUAAUACCGGAUACGACCCUCGGAGGCAUCUCCAGGGGGUGGAAAGAAUUUCGGUCAAGGAUGGACUCGCGGCCUAUCGGCUAGUUGGUGAGGUAACGGCUCACCAAGGCGACGACGGGUAGCCGGCCUGGGAGGGUGACCGGCCACACUGGGACUGAGACACGGCCCAGACUCCUACGGGAGGCAGCAGUGGGGAAUAUUGCACAAUGGGCGCAAGCCUGAUGCAGCAACGCCGCGUGAGGGAUGACGGCCUUCGGGUUGUAAACCUCUUUUAGCAGGGAAGAAGCGAAAGUGACGGUACCUGCAGAAAAAGCACCGGCUAACUACGUGCCAGCCGCCGCCGUAA
RNAcentral lists this ribosomal RNA (484 nucleotides) under uncultured bacterium. RNAcentral describes it as "partial 16S ribosomal RNA". It matches the Rfam family "Bacterial small subunit ribosomal RNA", at positions 28 to 523 of the family's 1533-position model. The record is from RNAcentral.